UAAAAAGGUCCCUUGGCCUUUGGAAUUAAAAUAUCCCCACACCAUUCACCAUGCCUGGAGAUUGGCAUGGUUUUGUAAAUCCAGGAGACAAUCUGUAAUUAUGACAAGAAAUCUGUUCUAGAUCUGUUCUAUCUUUAUAUUGGGACACUGUGGACUUGCAUGGGAUCUAGCGAAGAUUGGCAAACAUGAAGAUGGACUUUGUAGAAUCUGCAAUCAGCAACAGACUGUUAAUCAUGUGUUUAUGGAAUGUCAGCAGUAUAAAAGGCAAAGAGAACAACUUUAUUCUGUGAUAUCAGGAGAUAUUACAAGCAGUGACACUGAGAGAUAUUUUGAAUCCUCAUGAGAACCAAUUAAGGAUAGUGGAAGCCGUCAUGAAUUUUAUAUCGGCAACAGGAUUAGCCCUAUAUAUGAGAAUGAUGGAAAUAUAAAGCGAUACCGAGACUGAACUGUGGGAGGCAGCAAUAUGCCGUAAGGCAUCUAGUCUGCCGGAAAGCCAGAAGAAGAAGAAGAAGAAGAAGAAGAAGAACGAACGAACGAUACUCCACGUUGAUUGCGAUUCCAAAUGUGGGUCUGAGCGUACAGCACGAGGAAGCACCUGCAGCUCGGUAGCACAGAGGUUUGGAGCUGAAUCCUGCAUUAGAGAGAGCCCUGCAUUGAAAGUGGAGAUGUUUUGUGAUACAGCAAGAUCCCACAUCGACAACUUCCGCUUCUUCAAACAGAGGAUCUCUUCCAAACAUGGAGACCAAAAACCAAAUGGAUAAUAGGAAACAAGCCAGCAGUUGCACCUGAAUCUGAACUUAAGUGUGGAAAUGUCAAGAGUUCUACAGGUAACCGACUUGUGAACUUGUACUUCUUAGGGUUGCAGUGGUAUGAGAUUUUCACAGUACAAAAGCAGUUUCAGAAAUGAUCAUGGUUUAAUGGUAUAUGGUCCUGCUCAAUCAAAUGUGAGAGUCAUUUUUAAAUAUAUUAUAUUUUUAAAAAUAGUUUGCCAUUGGAUCAUUUUUUACUCCUACUCCAAUAACAAUAAAUAUUAUUUCUAUAAGUCCUUUUAUUUUAGUACAGCUUUUGGAUAUUCUGCCCACCUCUGCUGUCACACCACAUAGCCUUGAUUUUCAAAACUACAUUUACUGUUUGAAUUGUGUGAUAAAAGUGACAUAAUUUGAGACUUUUUGCUUUAUUUUUGACUAGAUACAAAGCUCAUCACAGUUUACAUCUGUAAACUGUGGAUGGAAGGGAUAGUGUUUAGUUGGGCAACUACUGAAAAUAGCAUAGGCUAAAACAUUGAUCUCGGGAUUUAAGAUUUGAUAUAGGGCAAUAGUACAUUACAGUACUGUAAAUAAUCAAAUGUGUGAGAUAUAACUCUUUUAAGCAUGAAACUGGCAUACUGCUGCAACCCUAAUAUAAUAUACUGUAUAAAAGUUAGUAUGCAUAGUGGUCUUAAAACAUUAGUCACAUUUAAAGUGCUGUAGUAAAGACUGAACUUUAAACAUGUUGUUACAUACUGAUGGUAGGUUAAAUUUUAAUUGUUAUUGUAAUUAAUACCCUGCUCAUUUUCUUGCACUUUGUGAAUUGUAACAGUACACUCUAUACAUGGCUUUGGGGCUCCGAUUUGAUUUUACAUGUCAUUACCUCAUUACAUAUUUCACGUUAAACAGACAUGCGUAAUUGUUUGCUAUUAUUAUUUUAAAAAAUUCAGGAUGACAUGCCCCUGAUCAGGAGGUAGUGGUGUGCUCUCAUACUGGACAACUUCACUCUGCAUGUAGCUGUUUGCAUGUUCCUACAUUAAACAUUAGUUUAUGUACUACAUCUACCAAUGUACUUGCCUACCUCUUGUCAUUUGUUUUUCUUAGCACUUUAUUCAGAGCAUGCAGUUAUGACAACAGCUUCCCCCAUGAAAUAAUAGCAACUGGUGAUUCUGCAUAUUUGACGCUUUCACUGGUAUGCAGAUGGUUUAGGGAUGUGGUCACAAAUGAAAUUUUCCAGAAAGCAGCACACUUUGCCUGGCUAGACAGUGUGGUCAACUGGAAAAAAAUUUCUCCGGACUACUGUGAUGAGUUUCGCCGGAUCUACAGCUUCAGGGAAUGCUUGGAGCUUUUCAAGUCCUAUCCGCCGGGGUACAGGGGAAGAGGAAGACGAGGGGAACUGCUGGGCUUUUACUCCGAGGAUCUUUGUACAGGAUUUUGCUCGCAGGACUGUUUUUUUUUUUUUUUUUUUUUUUGCUGCAGGAAAUGAAUUUCUGUAAAACUCAAAACUUGUAGAUGGGAAUUGAGAGAUGAACUGGUUUUGAUGUAGUAAUUGAUGCAACUAAAAGUUAAACUUAAAGGUCAAACUUGAAAAAUUAGAAUAUUGUGCAAAAGUUCAUGUUCAGUAAUUCAAAUUAAAAGGUGAAACUAAUAUAUUUAGUAUAAAUAACUAUAUAUGCAUAUGGCAUAAUUAUAUAUACUUUUCAGAGGGCUUACAUUUUUGUAAUAUUCUGAUUUUGUGAGAUUUUGAAUUUGAUGUUCAUCAAAAUUAUAACUUUUGCACGAUAUUACAAUUUUUCGAGUUUCACCUGUAUAGUGUUCUAUUGAAAAGCUAUGGCAAAAACAUAGGUUUCACUAAUUGUGCAUAUGGUAAAGUACCUUGGUUCUUUAAGGUUUGCAUAAAUUCCAUUCUGCUGAUGCAUAAGUGCAGUUUGGAGUCUAUAAUAAAGAAAAAGUGACAAAGUC
Non-coding RNA from Pimephales promelas (fathead minnow), 2708 nucleotides. NCBI's taxonomy places the organism in Eukaryota, Metazoa, Chordata, Actinopteri, Cypriniformes, Leuciscidae. The record is from RefSeq and is a predicted model, not a curated record.